UCAUCGAAGUGGAGCGUGCAAACUUAACCGCUGCACCACAGGGCUGGCCCCUCCUUUAUGUCUUUCACAUUUAGAGUCUGGUUUAGAAUGACUUCUAGUUUCCCAAAGUCAUAAACACAUUCUCCUAUAUUUCUUCUGAUACAUUUAGGGUUCUGUCUUUUAUGUGUGGGUCUGUAAUCCCUCCAGAAUUUAUUUCUGUGAAUGGUGUUAGGUAGAGAAUCUAACUUUAUUUUUAUUAAAACAAAUGAUUGAUUGUCCCAAUGCCAUUACUGAAUCGUAGUACUUCCCCACCAAGAGGGGAUCCAUCCUUAUUGUAUGUCUCGCCCUAACUGGGCUGAACCAGCCCUCUGCGGGAAGAACCCACACCAAGAAAAGGCUGCUGAAAUGAGGCGAGUACCCCAGACUUAUCUAAGCGAGCAGGAUGCGUCCUUAAAAUGAAGAUUGUAACUUAGUUAUUUCAGAGCCUGUCUGGAAGAACACACAUACAGGAGUAUACAAAAAGGGGAAUUAAAUAGCAAGAACUGGGUCGUGACUGCCUGGCACAGGAAUAAUUGAUUCAUUGGAGAAACACAUAAAAUUUUCCAGGCCUUUCCGUGGCUUGAAAGGAACAGCUUUCUACGUUAGUCCAUUCCCUCACCUCUGACUAUGCGCCCCUGGGAAACUUUCUGCUGGCCUAUCCAGUUUGACGGGUACCUUGAUAUAAACGGAGGGGAUGCCCACAGAGAGGAACUGAGUGUUUCAGGCACAUCUACUUUUCUGAAUUGAGAAAUUGCUAUUCUGGUGUACAAAUCAGUCCUUUAAGAGACUUUAAUUGUGUCGUUUACAUAGCUCAAGCCAUACAGUUUCUGAAUUUCUAAUUCUGUGGUUUUACCUCCAGUGCCUGGUACACAGAAGGUACACAGCACAUCUGUUGAAUGAACCGAUGGCUGAACCAUCGCUGCUAUUCUGUCAGGAUCAACUGCUGCAAGGGGAUUCUCUGGGCCCAGGAGAGGAUGAGCCGACUCACCAUCCCCAGUCAACCUACGACCUCUGAUCAACCUACGAUCGAUGGAAGAGGGUAAUGGGGAAAGAUACGGAGGUAGAGGUCUCUAAGAAAAUGAAAACGAAACGUCUGCCAAUUGUAUAUGUUAAACAAUUUCCAUUUAACUUUUCAUUUCAGAACUGUUUUAGUCAGUUAGAGAAACACAUAUGUUACAUUUAUAGAAACAGGAACUCUCUUCACAUCACAUUUCAGGGACCACUGGGUCUCGUCUGUUCGUGUGAAUAUUCCUGUGUGGAGCAGAAGCGCCCUCCAGUGCUUCAGCUCUAAGCUCGAGGUGUGAUGGAAGGAAAAGGGCGGCAGAAAAGGUUAAGAAAAAACUAAAUAAGAUAGGAAAGGAAGACAAAAGGAACAAGCUGGAGUAAGGCAAAGGGUGUAGGAGCUAGAUAGCCUCCUGGCACCAGCCCUGCCUGUGCUCAUCCCCUUCCUGGGGUAGUUGCCCUGUCUGAUAUUUUCAGCGCAAACAUUUAGCAACUGCAGCUUCCUCUAUCAUUAGAGGAGGAAAUGAAAGAGCACGCACAAUUACAGGCUGAGAAGUAAUUGCCGGGGCCAAAAUGAGAAAUCAGCACAGAAUGGUUUUUUUAAAAGGAAAAUCCACGUGUUGCAACCUGCCUAGUCACCGGACUCUUAGGGCUCCGACCCGCAGACGGUCGUCAUUCUUCCUUCCUUGUAGACGGUUCCCUCCCUAGUUUUCUAACUGGUCAUUGUGUUGUUAAUAAACACAGCAGGGCCCUUCAAACCUCUCUGAAACAUCUGAAAAUGAAUUCAGAUUCUGAUAAGAAGCAUUUCUGCAUGUCAAAAUGUAAACCACUUGACUAGUGUUUCAUUCCUCUCUACCUGUUAGGAUCUUCCCUAUUUAAGGGAAAACUCUGAGCUAAAAUUUAAUUUAAAUACUUUCAAGAGGCUGUGGUUUUAAGAUGACAGACAAGGAAGUUUCUCUGUAAGUUUACGAUUUAGAAAGCCGAGGGUCGCAGUGGCUCCCUCUAACGACCAGAAAAUGCCACAAUCUAACUGUGGUUUUGUUUUCAAGCUUAGAGGCUGUCGCCCAUUUAAAGACCUUGGUGAGGCUGUUUCCUCUCUCACCACCUCACUUAAAAGUGUCUUCAUCGCUGUUCAGUCAUUGAAGACAUAAACCCAAAAACGCCACAUAAAAAUAGGAACAAAAAUUAUAAUUUUUAAAAGUAAAUCAUUGUCUAUUUUUAAAGGUAGGGCUGAGGGGGUGGGAGAAUCGGGGAAAUGUUGGUCAAAGGGUAAAAACCGGCAGUUAGAAGAUGAAUAAGUUCUGGAGCGUGAGCGCAGAGCACCGUGACUACAGUUAACAACACGGGAUUAUUGACUUCAGCGUUGCCGAGAGACUAGAUCUUAACUGUUCUCCCCACAAAAUGAAACGAGAAGUACGUGAGGCGAUGGAGACGUUAGCUAACGCUGUGGUGAUCAUAUUGCAAUACGUGUGUCAAACCAACACGUUGUACACCUUAAACCUACACGUUAUCUGCCAAUUAUAGCUCAAUAAAAAUGAAAAACAAAAGCAAGCAAAAAAACCCCAACAAAAUACAAGACAGACCAAUGGACGUUUAUUUAAGAGUAUCAAUUUACUUGAUUUGUGAUAGGUUUUCUGAAUCAGUGGAUGUUUAAAAACAUUUAUUUCUAAAAUUUCAGUAAAACUAAUAUCACUUAAAUUGUGGAAAUAAAUCACUUAAAAUUUAAAUAUCAAUUUUAAAAAAGUAAACUAGAGUCUUUAUCACAAUUAAAAAUAAACAAAUAAAGUAAAAAAAAAAAAAAAGUAAACCAGGAUCUAGAGCAGAACUUUGUCCAGCACAGGAGAAAACAGUCAUUUAGCUGGAUGGAGAGAGAAAUCCUGUGCGGCCAGUCGCGCGGGGGUUCUCGAAUGACCACUGCAGUCCUCUCAGCCAGGUAUCAAAACAUCUUAAGCAGGAUUUGGCUGUGAUCCUUAAUUCAUACAUUUGACAAAUAUUUAUUGACACAGCACAAGGCAUCUGAAAGAGAACCUGAUCAAAAUGCACAAAGUCCUCGCCUUUUCGGAGCUGGCAGUGCAGUGAAGGAGAAAGACCAGAAACAAACAUGUAAUUGCAAAUUGGGAUGGAAGGAAAGGAAGGAAAAGAACUGGGCUCUUAAAAGAGACUAACAGGGCAUCCGGACACACAGACGCAGACUGCCGCGCUCUGCGUGCGUGCGGGCAGUGAGCCACGCAGAGGGUGGGAAGGGCCCUGCAGGCGGACGGGAACCGACAGACGCUGUGAGUGGCGGUUGCUCAGUGACUCAGGGAGCUGAGGUCUUUGCCACAGUUGGUGGUGUGUUAAUAUUUCCUUGUUCAUAGACGCGUUCUCGCAGGACAGUUCAGUGUUUGGGAUAUGGUCAUGUCCUCUGCCCUUCAGAUCGAGGGUCUGCGAUGAGGGCAAUGCCUCCCAUUUCUUCCCGCUUCUCUGGGUUUAGUACAGGGUGCUGCCUGCCUGCAAAGGACUCAUGACCCAUGCCACCAACUGAACACAGGACCGCUUCCGAGAGUCUACCCGGUCGGGAAAGUCCUCUUGGUUAGACCGCUUCCCCCAGGGAUUUUGUAUUCCCAGCAUCUAACAGAGCGCCUGCCAUCGUCAGUGCUGAAUAAACAUUUGUGGAAAAGGGAAUAAAAGACCAGGAGACAGAGGGCACAGGCCCAUGCCUCGAUGGAACCACGUGACUUCCAGAAGCUCAGCGCAGGGCUCCCUGGUGAGAAGCAAGGGUCCACGAUGAGGGCUAAGGACCAGAUGGCGAACCCCUGGACCGCGUUGAGAAGAUUCGAGGGACGGUCUGGACCCGUGCUCCCACACCUGCUCUGAUGGAGACCCCACAGCCCCGGCACAAGCACACUUUAACGGGGAGAAGGAGAUCCAGCCACUCGUGCGCCGUCCUGCUGCGCCUGUGUGAAGCCCAGAAGUUGUGAGCGGGUGAGCUCUGACCCUUCACCUGUCACCUCUGUUUCUGGCCCAUCCAGAAUGGAAGGAUGACAGACAGGAGGACUGACAGACAGGGAGGCUGGGAGGCUGCCGCCGGAGCGGAGCAUGAGGAGCUCCUGCAGUUCUCAGUGGGUAAUCCAGCCCCGCGUUCCCUCCUGAUCGCUCUUCACCCCUCCUGCUCCCUCACCCGCCUUCCUAAGGCAGCAGCGAGGCUCAGGGGGACUCUCCAAGGGGACUCACGGCCGCAGGGAGAUGCGUUCACUCACCUGCCAAGUAUCUGUUCAGCGCCUGGCUCCGUAUUUACCAACAAACAGCGCCCCCCCCCGACCCCUGUGACGCUUACCUUCCAGUGGGGCAGGGGCAGUGAACAAUAGAUGAGUGCAUUAAAAUGGUUCCAACAAGAAGUUACAAGUUCUGUGCAAACAAGAAAAAGCAGGGCAGGGUGAGGAGAGUCUAGAGUGCUGGGAAAGAGGGUGAGAGCAGCUGUGGCGGGAGAUCAGCCAGGCCUCCCUGAAAAGGUGAGGUUUUUGAGGAAAGACGAGAAGGAAGUGAGAGAGCCACACAGACGAUGGGGGAAGGGCUUUCCAGGCAGAGCUGAGCAGACACCCCGGGGUGGGAGCACACCGGGAUGUUCGGGAGCGACAGCAUGAAGGCCAGUGGCAGAGGCAGAGGCGGCGGCCAAGGGUGAGACGAGAUGAGGUCACAUGCUACGUGGCCCUGAGGCUGCCACGAGGUUUGGCUUUUCAAGUAAAAUGGUGUGCGACUGCAGGGUUCCGAGCAGAGGGGUGACGUGAAGGGACCACUGUGGCUGCUGCACUGAGAACAGACUUUGGGGAGCAAGGGUAAAGUGGGGAGACCCUUAAGGAGGCCUCUGCAAUAGCAGGAGAAAUGGUACGACGAGUUUGGAUUCUGGAUAUGUUUGGAAGGUAGAGCCAACCAGCCUGCCAGACUGGACACAUAGGCGAGAAAAAGAAACGUCAGUAAUGACUCCAAGAUUUCCAUCUGAGAAAACGAUAAGAUGAUGUUGUGGGAGGAGUGGGUUUGGGGCCCGGGGGAAGAUCAGCUCAGUUUUGGGUGUGUUUAGUUUGAAGUAUCUAUCAGACGUUGAGCAGACCACUGGAUUAAUGAGGUGUACAUGAGACGCCCAAUCUUACUGCCUCAGGCACUUCGUCCCCCCACUAAGCUCCAAGGCUCUCAUGGGCUGGGGAGGUCUGCGAACUCAGAGCGGCUCACAGAAGACCCUGUCCUGAACGAAGUAACCAAGAGGCCAGGCUGAGGCAACCACAGAGUUCCUCACAAUCCACUCACCUCGUGGUUCACCCUGGCCACUCCUUCACUUUCUCCCCACAGGGCUGGUGACGGCCCUUCUCCAACUCUUUGUAGACCAGGUUUUUACUUCCCCCCCACUGCAGAGUAGUACUUGUGUCGAAUACCAAAUCCAACGCCUGGUUGCCAUAGCAAUAUCCCUGCUGUAAAAGUCCCCCAACACUUACUCCCAGUUUCUGCACUGACUUUGUUUGAACAGGUAAGGAACCGUUGGUGGCCUGGCGCUGGUGCACAGACCACACCCUGACCCCGCUGCUCUAGAGGACUUUUCUCAGGGGCAUGAUCCAGCGCUAGUUCAUAAACCCUGUGAUGGUCAUUCUGAGUAAAUACCAUUUCUAGAA
Non-coding RNA from Equus caballus (horse), 5660 nucleotides. NCBI's taxonomy places the organism in Eukaryota, Metazoa, Chordata, Mammalia, Perissodactyla, Equidae. The record is from RefSeq and is a predicted model, not a curated record.